CGUGUAGGCGGUUUGUUAAGUCUGUUGUGAAAGCCCUGGGCUCAACCCGGGAAGUGCACUGGAUACUGGCAGACUUGAAUACGGGAGAGGAGAGUGGAAUUCCUGGUGUAGGAGUGAAAUCCGUAGAUAUCAGGAGGAACACCGGUGGCGAAGGCGGCUCUCUGGACCGAUAUUGACGCUGAGACGCGAAGCGUGGGUAGCAAACA
RNAcentral lists this ribosomal RNA (206 nucleotides) under uncultured delta proteobacterium. RNAcentral's name for it is "partial 16S ribosomal RNA". It matches the Rfam family "Bacterial small subunit ribosomal RNA", at positions 568 to 774 of the family's 1533-position model. The record is from RNAcentral. Lineage: Bacteria; Deltaproteobacteria.